UAGGCGAAGGGUGUAACAGAUAGAUAGCGAUGUUUGUAACCGUCUGGUAGUGGGCCGUUCAGGGCCAUAAGGAGUUUGUUGUGGAGAGUAGUGGUGUCAGGGGCUAUUCAGAGCCACGUGGAGCUUAUCGCGGGGAGUGGAGUGGUGUCAGUUGUCAUGAAUUUCCAGAGAGUGAUGGAGCCAUGUGGAAUCCAUUGCAGGGAGUGGAGC
This 210-nucleotide long non-coding RNA is filed under the name Elaeis guineensis (African oil palm). RNAcentral describes it as "long non-coding RNA (EGUI_LNC060947)". Lineage: Eukaryota; Viridiplantae; Streptophyta; Magnoliopsida; Arecales; Arecaceae. The record is from RNAcentral.